RNAcentral lists this ribosomal RNA (465 nucleotides) under Vreelandella stevensii. RNAcentral describes it as "partial 16S ribosomal RNA". It matches the Rfam family "Bacterial small subunit ribosomal RNA", at positions 338 to 795 of the family's 1533-position model. The record is from RNAcentral. Lineage: Bacteria; Pseudomonadati; Pseudomonadota; Gammaproteobacteria; Oceanospirillales; Halomonadaceae.
CCUACGGGAGGCUGCAGUGGGGAAUAUUGGACAAUGGGGGGAACCCUGAUCCAGCCAUGGCGCGUGUGUGAAGAAGGCCCUCGGGUUGUAAAGCACUCUCAGUGAGGAAGAACGCCUGGUGGUUAAUACCCAUCAGGAAAGACAUCACUCACAGAAGAAGCACCGGCUAACUCCGUGCCAGCAGCCGCGGUAAUACGGAGGGUGCGAGCGUUAAUCGGAAUUACUGGGCGUAAAGCGCGCGUAGGUGGCUUGAUAAGCCGGUUGUGAAAGCCCCGGGCUCAACCUGGGAACGGCAUCCGGAACUGUCAAGCUAGAGUGCAGGAGAGGAAGGUAGAAUUCCCGGUGUAGCGGUGAAAUGCGUAGAGAUCGGGAGGAAUACCAGUGGCGAAGGCGGCCUUCUGGACUGACACUGACACUGAGGUGCGAAAGCGUGGGUAGCAAACAGGAUUAGAUACCCCGGUAGUC